GACGAACGCUGGCGGCGUGCUUAACACAUGCAAGUCGAACGGAAAGGCCCUGCUUUUGUGGGGUGCUCGAGUGGCGAACGGGUGAGUAACACGUGAGUAACCUGCCCUUGACUUUGGGAUAACUUCAGGAAACUGGGGCUAAUACCGGAUAGGAGCUCCUGCUGCAUGGUGGGGGGGGGAAAGUUUCGGCGGUUGGGGAUGGACGCGCGCCUUAUCAGCUUGUUGGUGGGGUAGUGGCUUACCAAGGCUUUGACGGGUAGGCGGCCUGAGAGGGUGACCGGCCACAUUGGGACUGAGAUGCGGCCCAGACUCCUACGGGAGGCAGGAGUGGGGUAUAGUGCACAAUGGGCGGAACCCAUACGCAGCAGCGCCGCGUGCGGGAUGACGGCCUUCGGGUUGUAAACCGCUUUCGCCUGUGACGAAGCGUGAGUGACGGUAAUGGGUAAAGAAGCACCGGCUAACUACGUG
This 468-nucleotide ribosomal RNA is filed under the name uncultured bacterium. RNAcentral's name for it is "partial 16S ribosomal RNA". It matches the Rfam family "Bacterial small subunit ribosomal RNA", at positions 28 to 507 of the family's 1533-position model. The record is from RNAcentral.